UGUUUUGGUGCAUGACGUAUAUGUGUCU
Molecule: small RNA, 28 nt
Filed under: Bombyx mori (domestic silkworm)
Lineage: Eukaryota; Metazoa; Arthropoda; Insecta; Lepidoptera; Bombycidae
Description: ovarian small RNA-9256
Source: RNAcentral